Molecule: long non-coding RNA, 519 nt
Organism: Pseudoliparis swirei
Lineage: Eukaryota; Metazoa; Chordata; Actinopteri; Perciformes; Liparidae
Exons: 3
Source: RefSeq, a predicted model, not a curated record
UUAAUUUACAGCCACAUUUAGACUUCAUAUAACUAAAGUAAAUUAUAAAUCCAUAGUUUUACUUUAAUAAACACAGCAACACAUGGCUUCACUUCCCCCUACUGAUUCCUUCAGUUGGUAUUUCCCAGACCUAUAAAGUGGUGGUCAUAGACGCUGGGAAGUCAUUUGCCAGAUCACCCUGGGGAGAGGAGACCUGUUCCAGAGAGCCCUGGGAGGAAGACACCUGUAACAGGAUCUAAAGAGCGGGAGCGCGCUGAUACAUUCAACCCCAUGUAUUAAUUUACACUUCCCUGGACCAGGUACCUGGAUCACAGAUGGUGUGCAGCUUGCUGAUGUUCAAGUAUAAAUGGAUAGUGAAUGAAGUUGUAUCUUUGUAGGUGAGAGACUAGGAGUCUCACUUAUAGAAAGUGUUGUUUGAUAACAAGGUCGAAUGGAACGGUCAUGCCCUUUUUGGUAUGUUUUUGCUGAUGACAGCAAAAACUAAGUCCAGCUUUUAAAAUAAAAAGUUUUUAAUUUUUA